Molecule: ribosomal RNA, 426 nt
Filed under: uncultured bacterium
Lineage: Bacteria
Description: partial 16S ribosomal RNA
Rfam family: Bacterial small subunit ribosomal RNA
Source: RNAcentral
GUGAGGAAUUUUCCGCAAUGGGCGAAAGCCUGACGGAGCAAUGCCGCGUGAAGGAUGAAGGCCUAUGGGUUGUAAACUUCUUUUCUUAGAGAAGAAUAUUGACGGUAUCUGAGGAAUAAGCAUCGGCUAACUCUGUGCCAGCAGCCGCGGUAAUACGAAGGGGGCGAGCGUUAUUCGGAAUCACUGGGCGUAAAGCGUGCGUAGGCGGUUUUGUAAGUUAGGAGUGAACGCCCAGGGCUCAACCUUGGAAUUGCUCUUAAAACUGCAAGGCUCGAAUCUCGGAGAGUAUAGCGGAAUUUCCAGUGUAGCAGUGAAAUGCGUAGAUAUUGGAAGGAACACCAGUGGCGUAAGCGGCUAUCUGGACGAGUAUUGACGCUGAGGCACGAAAGCGUGGGGAUCAAACAGGAUUAGAUACCCUUGUAGUCC